GAAAUGCGAUAAGUAGUGUGAAUUGCAGAAUUCAGUGAAUCAUCGAAUCUUUGAACGCACAUUGCGCCCCUUGGUAUUCCAUGGGGCAUGCCUGUUCGAGCAUCAUUUGUACCUUCAAGCUCUGCUUGGUGUUGGGUGUUUGUCUCGCCUCUGCGCGCAGACUCGCCUCAAAACAAUUGGCAGCCGGCGUAUUGAUUUCGGAGCGCAGUACAUCUCGCGCUUUGCACUCAGAACGACGACGUCCAAAAGUACAUUUUUUACACUCUUGACCUCGGAUCAGGUAGGGAUACCCGCUGAACUUAAGC
This 305-nucleotide unclassified non-coding RNA is filed under the name plant metagenome. RNAcentral describes it as "partial contains 5.8S ribosomal RNA, internal transcribed spacer 2, and large subunit ribosomal RNA". The stretch from base 1 to 105 matches the Rfam family "5.8S ribosomal RNA", at positions 50 to 154 of the family's 154-position model. The record is from RNAcentral.